This 407-nucleotide ribosomal RNA is filed under the name uncultured cyanobacterium. RNAcentral's name for it is "bacterial SSU rRNA". It matches the Rfam family "Bacterial small subunit ribosomal RNA", at positions 505 to 918 of the family's 1533-position model. Lineage: Bacteria; Bacillati; Cyanobacteriota. The record is from RNAcentral.
GUGUCAGCCGCCGCGGUAAUACAGAGGGUGCAAGCGUUGUUCGGAAUGAUUGGGCGUAAAGCAUCUGUAGGUGGUUUCUAAAGUCAGCUGUUAAAUCCCAGAGCUCAACUUUGGUCAAGCAGUUGAGUACUUAGAGACUUGAGUACGGUAGGGGUAGAGGGAAUUCCUUGUUUAGCGGUGAAAUGCAUAGAGAUAAGGAAGAACACCAGUGGCGAAAGCGCUCUACUGGGCCGUAACUGACACUGAGAGAUGAAAGUUAGGGGAGCGAAAAGGAUUAGAUACCCUUGUAGUCCUAACUGUAAACGAUGGAUACUAAGUGCUGUCAAAAACAGUGCUGUAGCUAACGCGUUAAGUAUCCCGCCUGGGGAGUAUGCUCGCAAGAGUGAAACUCAAAGGAAUUGGCGGGG